CUGUGUAAUUAAAAAAAUCAAUUUUUGAUGAUGUUUCUUUCAAUUAUAUUAGAUUAAGGGACAAAAAAGUAAAAGAACAAACAAAUCACUAAGCACAUAACAAAUUUAAGGGGGGAAAAAUCAAAACAAAUAACAGUCAUCAGGUACGACUGGAACAAAAAACCACCACCACCACCACCACCACCACCAUCUAAACCAAAAUCACGAUCCAAGCCCACACCCACACCCACAAAGUAAUCUUCAACCACCACUACCCCACCAUCGAGCGAAGCUUUUUUUUCACCAUCAUCGUGAAUCACUUCAACUCGUCAGCAAAUAACCAUCACCAUCAAUACUCCCACAACCUCCGGCCAUAACCCCUAAUUAAAAAUACAAUCAAUUAUUCUCGUGAAUUCAUAAUUGCUCUAAUAGAGAAUCAAACCCAAAAAUUAGGGUUUGUAUAUGUACACACAUACACAGAUCUAUAGGGGAGAAAAAGAGCUUAGUUAUGAAGAUGAUUAUAGGUUUCAAAGAUCAUAGAGGUUUUUUGGUUCCAGUGGUUGCAAUCGUCAUUGCGGCAGCACGACUCUCUCUUCUCUUUCCACGACGACGACGUCGUCUUUAGAAAUCGCGUUGAGGGAGGAGGGCCUUCACUCAUCGUCUGGACCAGAUCUCUAGGCGGUCGUUCUCCAUCGUUUCCUGCUAUGGUAAAGGCGCAGAGUGAAUGAAAAGAUCUAGGGUUUGAAACGGAAGAUUGAACAAAAUCCAAUUAUAGAAGAACAAAUUUAGAUAAGAGUGGAUUACUGAAAAACCGGAAUUGGACAUAAAAGAAUCAAAAUUCAAAAAUGAAUACAGAUUUGGAGAAAAAGGAAAAAAAUUUGAAAUAAAAAAUUGAUCGGGGGAAGAUCAGAGAAAGGGACAACGGUGUCAUCUGAUUUGAAGCUGAGAUUCAGAUCUAAGUUGAGAUGGAAGCUUCAGAUUUGGUUUUAGUGGUGGUGAAGGUUUGUUUGGAUUUAAAUGGAGGUGAGGGUGAGAUCAUUGUGUUGAUGUACUGUAAUCGGUAAUUGAAAGCUUUUGCUUUUAAUUUGAUAUUAGUCUUUUAUUAUAAAUUAGUUUGAAUGUAUUAAUGAAAGAGUUGUGAACAUUUUAUCCUUUAAUAUAUC
This 1142-nucleotide long non-coding RNA is filed under the name Panax ginseng (ginseng). Its description in RNAcentral is "long non-coding RNA (PGIN_LNC019147)". Lineage: Eukaryota; Viridiplantae; Streptophyta; Magnoliopsida; Apiales; Araliaceae. The record is from RNAcentral.